UAGGGAAUCUUCCGCAAUGGACGCAAGCCUGACGGAGCAACGCCGCGUGAGUGAAGAAGGAUCUCGGUUUGUAAAACUCUGUUGUUAGAGAAGAACAGCGCAUAGAGAAACUGUUAUUAGUGUGACGGUAUCUAACCAGAAAGCCACGGCUAACUACGUGCCAGCAGCCGCGGUAAUACGUAGGUGGCAAGCGUUGUCCGGAUUUAUUGGGCGUAAAGCGAGCGCAGGAGGUCACUUAAGUCUGAUGUGAAAGCGCCCGGCUCAACCGGUGAAGCUCAUUGGAAACUGGUAGACUAGAGUUCAGAAGAGGAAAGUGGAAUUCCAUGUGUAGCGGUGAAAUGCGUAGAUAUAUGGAGGAACACCAGUGGCGAAGGCGACUCGCUAGUCUGUAACUGACACUGAGGCUCGAAAGCGAGGGUAGCAAACGGG
This 429-nucleotide ribosomal RNA is filed under the name Bacteroidota bacterium. RNAcentral's name for it is "Bacteroidetes bacterium partial 16S ribosomal RNA". It matches the Rfam family "Bacterial small subunit ribosomal RNA", at positions 355 to 776 of the family's 1533-position model. Lineage: Bacteria; Pseudomonadati; Bacteroidota. The record is from RNAcentral.